UUGGCAAAAAAACCGAACCUACAAACGGGGGGACCUCUGGGUGCGAUGGCUCCGCCAGUCCUCCUUCGCGGUUGAGCUUCUUUAUUCGGUUAACCUGCACCGAAAAAGAUGGUGAAUAUAAUGAUUGAAAAAUCACGUGAAAUGACAAUCGAAGAGGAGUUCAUCAUAGGGAUUUUAGAGUUUUUGCAUGCGGUUUCAAGCUCACCCAUCGUCCUUUUUGCUCUGAUUUAGCUACAAGGUGCUUAGAAUCGAAUUUCGAUUG
RNAcentral lists this long non-coding RNA (262 nucleotides) under Carica papaya (papaya). RNAcentral's name for it is "long non-coding RNA (CPAP_LNC001250)". Lineage: Eukaryota; Viridiplantae; Streptophyta; Magnoliopsida; Brassicales; Caricaceae. The record is from RNAcentral.